This is a long non-coding RNA of Magnolia sinica, 872 nucleotides long. RefSeq lists it as uncharacterized. NCBI's taxonomy places the organism in Eukaryota, Viridiplantae, Streptophyta, Magnoliopsida, Magnoliales, Magnoliaceae. The transcript has 2 exons. The record is from RefSeq and is a predicted model, not a curated record.
UUAACCAACCAUUUUGUUUAGUACAUUGUCACCUGCCAGAGGAGUGAAAUGGCCUGAUUUUUCUAAAUUUUUUUUGAGCCGGAAGAUCUAAAUCGGGUCAGGAUACUGCUAAGAAUGUGCCAUGUGUGUGCGAGAGACCUAGGGCAUUCCUCAGGUGGGCCUGCCAUGUAUGUGCCAAAGCCCAAAUUUCAGGUAUGUAUGGUCAUCAGAUGGGCCAUGUGUACAAAGAAAGGAUGAUUAGGAGAAUUGAUCAGUGGUCCACACUCGAUGACUGGAUUGGUCUGAUUUUCAGGUGAUAGAAGAUAUGGUAGGUCCAGCACCUCUUGAGGAAUCACUUGGAUCUGUCACCCAUGGUACAUUUUAGGAAGUUGGAUCGAGAUCCUACUUUCAUGGGAUGCCAUAGGAGCACUUAAAAGCAUUGCACUUAAUGGAGACAGUUUCUAAAUAAUUAUGUUUGUUCUAGGGCUGAUGAAUGGAAUGCCAACAAAUGGGCAUGGGAAGGGGCAUUAAAAGUAAUCAGCAGAGGAGAGGAGGGCAUUAUCAAGCUUGAAGAUAAGACCACAGGAGAGCUUUAUGCUCAAGCAUUUCUGAGAAACGGGGAGCCACAUCCGGUGGAGCCUGUGAUUGACAGCAGCAGGUUUGGUUCCGUUUGUUAUUGGAACUAGGGUUAGUCUAUGAUAUCUCAAUACUCAAUCAGACGGGAAAAUUACAGUUUCCUCAAUUAUGUGUUUGCCUUAAGUUCAAAUUACUGAUAUUGUAAUAGGGUAUGAGUUUUCAUCUCUGGUUACUCUGAUGCUGCUUUUUUAUUUGGUUCCAAUCCACCUCAGGUUGGUUUGUCAUUUGCAAAUGGCAUACGUGUUUGUUGAUUGAAA